Molecule: ribosomal RNA, 433 nt
Filed under: uncultured bacterium
Lineage: Bacteria
Description: partial 16S ribosomal RNA
Rfam family: Bacterial small subunit ribosomal RNA
Source: RNAcentral
AACGAACGCUGGCGGCAUGCCUAACACAUGCAAGUCGAACGAGACCUUCGGGUCUAGUGGCGCACGGGUGCGUAACGCGUGGGAACCUGCCCUUAGGUUCGGAAUAACUCCCCGAAAGGGGUGCUAAUACCGGAUAAUGUCUUCGGACCAAAGAUUUAUCGCCUUUGGAUGGGGCCGCGUUGGAUUAGCUAGUUGGUAGGGUAAAAGCAUACCAAGGCGACGAUCCAUAGCUGGUCUGAGAGGAUGAUCAGCCACACUGGGACUGAGACACGGCCCAGACUCCUACGGGAGGCAGCAGUGGGGAAUAUUGGACAAUGGGCGAAAGCCUGAUCCAGCAAUGCCGCGUGAGUGAUGAAGGCCUUAGGGUUGUAAAGCUCUUUUACCCGGGAUGAUAAUGACAGUACCGGGAGAAUAAGCUCCGGCUAACUCCGUG